Molecule: ribosomal RNA, 161 nt
Filed under: Cytisus spinescens
Lineage: Eukaryota; Viridiplantae; Streptophyta; Magnoliopsida; Fabales; Fabaceae
Description: 5.8S ribosomal RNA
Rfam family: 5.8S ribosomal RNA
About the family: 5.8S ribosomal RNA (5.8S rRNA) is a component of the large subunit of the eukaryotic ribosome.
Source: RNAcentral
AGACUCUCGGCAACGGAUAUCUCGGCUCUUGCAUCGAUGAAGAACGUAGCGAAAUGCGAUACUUGGUGUGAAUUGCAGAAUCCCGUGAACCAUCGAGUCUUUGAACGCAAGUUGCGCCCAAAGCCAUUAGGCUGAGGGCACGCCUGCCUGGGUGUUGCACA